RNAcentral lists this ribosomal RNA (447 nucleotides) under uncultured bacterium. Its description in RNAcentral is "bacterial SSU rRNA". It matches the Rfam family "Bacterial small subunit ribosomal RNA", at positions 355 to 825 of the family's 1533-position model. The record is from RNAcentral.
UGGGGAAUUUUGGGCAAUGGGCGAAAGCCUGACCCAGCAACGCCGCGUGAAGGAUGAAGUAUUUCGGUAUGUAAACUUCGUAAGAAUAGGAAGAAUAAAUGACGGUACUAUUUGUAAGGUCCGGCUAACUACGUGCCAGCAGCCGCGGUAAUACGUAGGGACCAAGCGUUGUUCGGAUUUACUGGGCGUAAAGCGCACGUAGGCGGAUUGAUAAGUUAGAGGUGAAAUCCCGGGGCUCAACCUCGGAACUGCCUUUGAUACUGUUAGUCUCGAGUCCGAUAGAGGUGAGUGGAAUUCCUAGUGUAGAGGUGAAAUUCGUAGAUAUUAGGAAGAACACCAGUGGCGAAGGCGGCUCACUGGAUCGGUACUGACGCUGAGGUGCGAAAGCGUGGGGAGCAAACAGGAUUAGAUACCCUAGUAGUCCCUGAGCGGGCUGGCAAGGCGCAU